RNAcentral lists this long non-coding RNA (214 nucleotides) under Setaria viridis. RNAcentral describes it as "long non-coding RNA (SVIR_LNC003137)". The record is from RNAcentral. Lineage: Eukaryota; Viridiplantae; Streptophyta; Magnoliopsida; Poales; Poaceae.
GAAAUGCUAUGAGACCUUGAAAUUUGGAGAUCCAAAAUACAAGAUAAGGUAGUGCCAUUCAGCAAUGUCAAGAUCUUCUGGCUUGUGUUUCAUUCUUACUGCGUAACCGUCGUACGCCUUGUAUGUGGCACUGAGUGAUGAUCUCCAUCCUUUGUAUCGCACCAUCGCGAUGGCCCAAAUCUUUUCCUUUUCAUCAUCAACAUCUACAAGCUCC